RNAcentral lists this long non-coding RNA (684 nucleotides) under Mus musculus (house mouse). RNAcentral's name for it is "long non-coding RNA chr11:43670800-43671484". Lineage: Eukaryota; Metazoa; Chordata; Mammalia; Rodentia; Muridae. The record is from RNAcentral.
AAAGCCGAAGACAAGGAGUGGAUCCUGGUCAAGGAUAUGAAGUUCAAGUCUCUGGAGGAACUCAUCCUGUUCUUCCUGCCCAAUUAGGAAUCCAAAAUUAUUGGCUUUUCCUUGGGCACAUCCCUAAAGAGUGAGGUUCUAUACAUUCCACUUGUGCAGGAGCAGACUCGGGCGACGAGUGGACCAGGUUUAAGUCCUUUGGUGGCUAUUGAGGACUACAACGGUUAUGUUGGUCUUGGUGCCAACUGCUCCAAGAUGGUAGCCACUGCUAUCCAAGGGUCCAUAUUCUUGGCCAAGCUUUUCUUUUCAUUGUCCCUGUGUGGGGAGCCUACGGGGGGUGAGGGUGGGGAUACAAGACUAGCAAGCCCCACACUGCUCUGUGUAAGGUGGUAAGCUACUUUGACUCUAUGCAGGUGGAUCUCAUCUGUGCCUCAGAGGCACUGGCAUCGUCCUGCUUGUGUGCCCAAGAAUCUGCUGCUGAUGGCUGGUAUUGAUGACGGCUACACAUCAGCCAGGGGCUGAACUGCCACCAUGGGUAGCUUUGCCAAGGCCACCUUUGAUGCCAUCUUCAAAACCUGCAACUACCUAACCCCUGACCUCUGGAAAAAGACUGUAUUCACCAAGUCUCCCUAUCAGGGAUUCACUGACCUUCUUGUGAAAACCCACACCAGAGUCUCUGCUCAG